UACGAAGGGGGCUAGCGUUGUUCGGAAUCACUGGGCGUAAAGCGCACGUAGGCGGAUCUUUAAGUCAGGGGUGAAAUCCCGAGGCUCAACCUCGGAACUGCCUUUGAUACUGGGGAUCUCGAGUCCGGGAGAGGUGAGUGGAACUGCGAGUGUAGAGGUGAAAUUCGUAGAUAUUCGCAAGAACACCAGUGGCGAAGGCGGCUCACUGGCCCGGAACUGACGCUGAGGAGCGAAAGUGUGGGGAGCGAACAGG
Molecule: ribosomal RNA, 253 nt
Filed under: uncultured bacterium
Lineage: Bacteria
Description: partial 16S ribosomal RNA
Rfam family: Bacterial small subunit ribosomal RNA
Source: RNAcentral